GGAAGGCAGCAGGCGCGCAAAUUACCCACUCCCGGCACGGGGAGGUAGUGACGAAAAAUAACGAUACGGGACUCUUUCGAGACCCCGUAAUCGGAAUGAGCACAGCCCAAACCCUUUCACGAGGAUCCAUUGGAGGGCAAGUCUGGUGCCAGCAGCUGCGGUAAUUCCAGCUCCAAUAGCGUAUAUUAAAGUUGUUGCGGUUAAAAAGCUCGUAGUUGGAUCUCAGCGCGGGACGGGGGGACCGCCCAACGGCGGACAUCCCCCCGCCUCCCGGCAUUCGGCCGGUUUCCCCGGGAUGAUCUUCGCCGGUCGUCCGGGGUGACCGGCGAGUUUACUUUGAAAAAAUUAGAGUGCUCAGAGCAGGCGCGACGCCUGGAUAAUGGUGCAUGGAAUAAUGGAACAGGACCUCGGUUCUGCUUUGUUGGUCGUAGGAACCCGAGGUAAUGAUUAAGAGGGACAGACGGGGGCAUUCGUAUUGCGACGCUAGAGGUGAAAUUCUUGGACCGUCGCAAGACGAACCACUGCGAAAGCAUUUGCCAAGAAUGUUUCCAUUAACCAAGAACGAAAGUUAGAGGUUCGAAGGCGAUCAGAUACCGCCCUAGUUCUAACCAUAAACGAUGCCAGCCAGCGAUCCGGCUGCGUUCCUAGAAUGACGCGCCGGGCAGCUUCCGGGAAACCAAAGCUUCUGGGUUCC
Molecule: ribosomal RNA, 694 nt
Filed under: Nephilengys malabarensis
Lineage: Eukaryota; Metazoa; Arthropoda; Arachnida; Araneae; Nephilidae
Description: SSU rRNA
Rfam family: Eukaryotic small subunit ribosomal RNA
Source: RNAcentral